Molecule: ribosomal RNA, 494 nt
Filed under: Diabrotica balteata
Lineage: Eukaryota; Metazoa; Arthropoda; Insecta; Coleoptera; Chrysomelidae
Description: partial 16S ribosomal RNA
Source: RNAcentral
GUCUUUUCGUAUAAAUAUAAAGUCUCGCCUGCCCACUGAAUUUUAAAUGGCCGCUGUAUAUUGACCGUGCUAAGGUAGCAUAAUCAUUAGUUUUUUUAUUGAAAGCUGGAAUGAAGGGUUGGAUGAAAAAAAAACUGUCUUUAUUUAAUUUAAAAAGAAAUUUAUUUUUAAGUUAAAAAGCUUAAAUUUUUUUAAAAGACGAGAAGACCCUGUAGAGUUUAAUAAAUUUAAAAAUAUAUUUUUUUAGAAUUUAAUUUAUUUAUAUUUUGAAUUUAUUUAAUUGGGGUGAUUGAAAAAUAAAUUUAACUUUUUUUGUAUUAUUAUAUUGAUUAAUAAAUUGUUGAUCCGAUAUUUUUGAUUAUAAGAUUAAAUUACCUUAGGGAUAACAGCGUAAUUUUAUUGGAGAGUUCAAAUUGAUAAUAAAGAUUGCGACCUCGAUGUUGGAUUAAAAUUUAUAAUUGGUGCAGAAGCUAUAUUAUUAAGUCUGUUCGACU